This 359-nucleotide ribosomal RNA is filed under the name uncultured Rhodoferax sp. Its description in RNAcentral is "bacterial SSU rRNA". It matches the Rfam family "Bacterial small subunit ribosomal RNA", at positions 1020 to 1382 of the family's 1533-position model. The record is from RNAcentral. Lineage: Bacteria; Pseudomonadati; Pseudomonadota; Betaproteobacteria; Burkholderiales; Comamonadaceae.
AAGAGAGCCGUAACACAGGUGCUGCAUGGCUGUCGUCAGCUCGUGUCGUGAGAUGUUGGUUAAGUCCCGCAACGAGCGCAACCCUUGUCAUUAGUUGCUACAUUCAGUUGGGCACUCUAAUGAGACUGCCGGUGACAAGCCGGAGGAAGGUGGGGAUGACGUCAAGUCCUCAUGGCCCUUAUAGGUGGGGCUACACACGUCAUACAAUGGCUGGUACAAAGGGUUGCCAACCCGCGAGGGGGAGCCAAUCCCAUAAAGCCAGUCGUAGUCCGGAUCGUAGUCUGCAACUCGACUACGUGAAGUCGGAAUCGCUAGUAAUCGUGGAUCAGAAUGUCACGGUGAAUACGUUCCCGGGUCUU